CACGCCCUAAACGAUGUCAACUAGGUGUUGGGUGGGUAAAACCAUUUAGUACCGGAGCUAACGCGUGAAGUUGACCGCCUGGGGAGUACGGCCGCAAGGUUAAAACUCAAAGGAAUUGACGGGGACCCGCACAAGCGGUGGAUGAUGUGGUUUAAUUCGAUGCAACGCGAAAAACCUUACCCACCUUUGACAUGGUCGGAACCCUUUAGAGAUAGAGGGGUGCUCGAAAGAGAGCCGAUACACAGGUGC
This 249-nucleotide ribosomal RNA is filed under the name uncultured bacterium. Its description in RNAcentral is "partial 16S ribosomal RNA". It matches the Rfam family "Bacterial small subunit ribosomal RNA", at positions 796 to 1041 of the family's 1533-position model. The record is from RNAcentral.